Molecule: long non-coding RNA, 1462 nt
Filed under: Homo sapiens (human)
Lineage: Eukaryota; Metazoa; Chordata; Mammalia; Primates; Hominidae
Description: non-protein coding lnc-WRNIP1-5:1
Source: RNAcentral
UGUUAUAACGUAAAGGAGAAAAAAACAUGAUUUUGUUAUACAUUGUUUCACUUAAAAUUGCAGUUUCCAAAAACCUAUUGGUGAAGUGAAGACUUACUGCACAUAUAUGUAUGCAUAUGUAAUAUGCAAAACUGUACAUGUAUCUUUAUAAAUGUAUAUGUACACCAAUAUAUAUACACAUAUAUAGUUGAACCACUUGAAAUUGUCCACACUUCACCAUUUUUGACCUACAAAAAUGGCACCUUUAUAUGGCUCAACAAUGUAGACCCUAUAAGAUAUAGGUAGUGAUAGACACAGCUAGAAAGAUGAACUAGAGAGCCAUUGUGAAUGUCCAGCGGCCUAGAUUACAGCAGGAUGUAUUGUAAAGAGGUGACGAAGGGUCAUACAGUCAGACAGACACGGGGUUUUUCUGGUGCUGCUGUGCAAACCUGGGCAAGUCCUGCCUGAAAACGGGGAUGAGGGUAAUAACACUUACAUUGAAAGAUUACUGAAAAGAUUAAAUAAGAUAAUGUAUGUAAAGUUUCUGGCACAUAGAGCUAUCAUCAUUCCUUAAAUCAGUGGAUAAUAGGAGUUGUUGAAGAUCUUGGAGCAGGCCGUUGGUGUACUGGUAUGUUGGUAUGGCUGGAUUUUAGGAAGCUGGAUCUUGUGGCAUCGAUGAAUGGUUGAUUGGAGGGUGUUAGGGCAACAGUAAACAACAAUGAAGAUGUUAACAGAGGUGGGGUAUAAUUAGGGCCUGAACAUAGGAUGGUGUCAGUGGGAAUGGAAAAGAAGGAAUGGGCUGGGCAUGGUGGCUCACGCCUGUAAUCCCAGCACUUUGGGAGGCCGAGGUGGGUGGAUCACUUGAGGUCAGGAGUUCAAGACCAGCCUGGCCAACGUGGGGAAACCUUGUCUCUACUAAAAAUACAAAAAUUAGCCAGGUGUGGUGGCACAGUCCUGUAAUCCCAGCUACUCAGGAGGCUGAGGCAGGAGAAUCAUUUGAACCUGGAAGGCGGAGGUUGCAAUGGGCCGAGAUCACGUCACUGCACUUGAGCCUGGGCCACAGAGCAAGACUCUAUCUCAAAAAAAAAAAAAAAAAAAAAAAAAAAAAGAAGGAAUGGGUUGGAGACAGAGAUUUCUUUAACAGCUUUGUUGAGGUAUAUUGACAUAUCGUAAACUGCCCAUAUUUAAGGUAUAUAUUUGCUAAGUUUUGACAUAUGUAUACACCUGUGAAAUCAUCAUCACAAUCAAGAUGGCAAACAUAUCCCUUAGCCCCCCAAAUUUCUUCAUUCCCUUUUAUAAUCCCUCCCUCCCUUCCCCAGUCCAGGCAAUCAUCGACCUGCUUUCUGUCACUGCAGACUAGUUAGCAAUUACAAGAAUUCUAUAAUAUAUACUCUUUUCUAGUCUUUUUUUUUUUUUUUUUUUUGAGACGGAUUCUUGCUCUGUCACCCAGGCUGGAGUGCAGCGGCGCGAUCUCAGCUCACUG